This 905-nucleotide long non-coding RNA is filed under the name Nicotiana benthamiana. RNAcentral describes it as "long non-coding RNA (NBEN_LNC040902)". Lineage: Eukaryota; Viridiplantae; Streptophyta; Magnoliopsida; Solanales; Solanaceae. The record is from RNAcentral.
AGGUACUUAAUAAAGUUCGACAUUGUUGGACAUCAAGAUCUCGUAGAACUGACUCUCCCUACCACAACUGUCUCGAGAUAUUUUUCUUGAUGGUGCUAUGUCUCCCAAAUUACGCAGUUCUCGUGUUAUUUCAUGUAAAUAUUGCAGUGAGAACUUAUUAAGAAAGGUGAUCCUUUCCGAAAGAGUCCCUCUAAAUUACCUUAGAUUGAAAACUUCUGAUGAUGAAUCUGGAAACUCCCUCCCUGCACAAAAAAGUAACAGAUUAAAGGAAGAAGCCAUUGGUGUUCUUGCAUAAGGUUACUUACAUAUGUUUCAAUCAUUCAUGUGUCACAACUCAGCAUUAUACUUUUUCUUGUUUCUAUUUUGCCUGUUACAAAUAUAUCUUAGUUUAUUUAUUAUGUAUGCUAAAAAAAUUUUAGGCAUGACAUGGCUAGAAUGCGGGUUUCCGAGGACAUGACCCUUGAGAGGAAAGUAUGGAGGUGUAGUAUCAGGGUUGUAGGAUAGGGCCCUAGAGUUCUCCGUACUCCUCACCCGGGGUUGGGUGAGGCUAGGCAGGGCUAUCCAUAGAUGACUUGUGUUUUGGAUUGUGCCUCCCUUAGGGUAGUUAUUUAUGGUAGUUACUGUAUGAUAUUAUUGCAUACUAUUUUAUUUAUGGUUCUUAUAAUUACCUUAGAUUGAAAAGUUCUUCUGAUGAAUCUGGAGACUCCCUCCCUUCACAAAAAAGUAAGAGAUUAAAGGAAGAAGCAGUUGGUGUUCUUGCAUAAGGUUAUUUACAUAUGUUUUAAUCAUUCAUGUGUUGCAACUCAGCAUUAUAUUUUUUCUUGUUUCUAUUUUUGCCUGUUUCACAUAUAUCGUAGUUUAUUUAUUAUGUGUGCUAAAAAAUUUGGCAUUUUACUGCUAGUAGG